GCAUAACCAGAUUAAGGUUAAGAUUAAGGUUACCUUUGUUUGUUUACAUGCUUGGCUCAUUAAACAUUUUCUUAGUUCAUACACUUGUACAGUAGUUGAUUAUAAUUUUCAGUUAUUCUUCCAUUUUCUGUGUUUAACAAUACAAGAAAUUAAAUCUGAUUCAUUUGGCAGAUGUUUUUUCUAAAGUGACUUAUAUUUUCCCAUAUACAUAAAUUAGGAGUACCUUUAGGUAGAGUGUUUGCCAAGGACACUUUGACAUGUGGAUAGUAGGAACAAGGGAUCGAAUGGCCUACCAAUGUUUUUACUUUUUGCACUCAAUACCACAGUAUCUGUUCAAUAAGAAUAAAAUAAAGAGCAUCUGCCAAAUAAGCCCCUUUAAGUUUCUUUGCUUCGCCAACACUUAUUUAAAAUAUGCAAUUAAUUGCUGUACUUUGUUGUUUGUUUGUUCUUCUUUUCCUGGAAAAAUGAACAUUAACAAUAAUUUAACAAUAUCACAGUUCAAUACAACAAAAUACACAAUAAAUAAGAGGGAAAUUGCUGUUAAUCACUAAGCAAAAACAACUGGCUAUAAACCAAAAAGUUAUGUAUAAGCUGUAAAAUUCUGGAAAGAAAAAUUAAAUAAAUAAUAAAUUACCAUGGACAGUCGAACAUGCCAGCGGGUUUUUAGAUUAGAUUUUAAUAAUAACAGAUUGUUUGCUGAUGGGAUUUGUUCUCUGUAAUUAUCAUUUUAAUGUAGUUUUUUAACAACUCAUUUUAACUUAUGCUGGUUCACCCUUCUUUGUUACCAUCUGUUAGAAAACCAGGCAGACAUACAGUGUAACUAGAGACGAGUCAUUCAUCUCUCUCAACACUGAAUUUGGAAAAUGAGAGCGUAUUAUUCACUAUUAGCUGCUCUGCUGCCCUAAUUUCACAAUUUCGCUCCAGCUUUGGUUCGAUCGCAGGAUUAUUUUCUGCCAGUUGAUUAGCUGCUUAAAUAUGAUAUUUGUGCAUAUGCAGAAGUGAUCAGGAUAACAAAUCCAGCAGAUUAUUUGUGGAUGGUUUUUGGACAGGUAUGACAAGCCUUAUCUUUUUGAUUAUUAUAGUCUGCUGACAAUGAAUGUAUUAUUAUGAAGAAAUGUUAAUAUUCUGCAGGUUUGGCACCAACCUGGUGGCUUGCGUCAUCUGUUUUUAUUAAGGUGUUUUCUAAAAUAUUUUCUGAAAUCUUAAAAUUCUUUAUACUGCAGCAGUUUUUAUAGUAGUUUUAGUAACAUCAGUGUCAGUGGCGGUUUUAAUAUGAAGUGUUUGGUGUUUUUCUGUUUCUCCAGCAUCAAGUAUUUUGCCAUCAAAAUACUUUAUAACAUCCUUUUGCCAUUUUGUUAGUAACUGAUUCUACAAACGUUGCAUCAGUCAAGCUACAGAUUGAAAAUCACUGAUGACUGUCACUGAAUGGGGCCUUUGAAACCAUAAAAUGGAAGUUUCUCGUGUGUGUGUUCGUUCCCGCUCAUGAGCUUGCAGUGUUUGUACAGUUCUGUAUGUUUUUACAGAAAGUGCGUGUGAGUGUCGCGUGUGGCCUGUGUGUGUUAUGGUUGGACGACCGUCACAGGCUCAUGAACUGGCCGUGAUCCAUGCUGGUGCGUACAGUAUGUUUACACAUGGUACAGUAUGUGUCUGCAUUUGAGUGUGCCUGUAUGUGUGUUAGUGUAAAUGUGUGUAUAUUUGCCAUGGCCCAUAAUGUUUUCUUUUCUCCAGAAAAAGAGGGGACGUGAACCCUUCACGUUGUGCCCCAGUUCGGAGCUCCACUGGUGGGGUGGCCAGGCGUCCCACAGGGCCUGUGGCUCCGUGUCUGACCUGGAGAACAUUCCAGAUCUGUGAAGAUACACAAUCCGUAGAGGAUGGGUUUGUGUAUGUGUGUGUGUCUCACAGAUUAGCAUGACUAGCUGCUUAUUGAUGUAAUGUUUAAUGAUGUUCCCAGAACGACACCGACAGAUAAACAGAUGAGAAAGAGGAGGAAGAGGAGGAGAAGUUGGAGGAAGGUUCAUGACAGUAAUAAUCUACAAUAGAGGGCCUCUGCCAGUGAUCCAUGGAGGGUAAUGGCCAUUCCUGCUGCUCCCACAGCACACCCCAUUACUACUGGAACACCCAGACGGAGAGCGACAGACAAAAAAGGAAAGAGGGAAAAAGACCAACAGAAAGAAAGAAGACGGACAGACAGAAAGUGGGAAUAUUUUGGUUCAAAAAAAGUAUAAUCGUGACAUGAAACUGGAAGCGUAGCAGCAUGUGUGUAUGGUGCAUGGAUGUGUGUGUGUGUGUGUGUGUGUGUGUGUGUGUGUGUGUGUGUAUAGAUCAUUUCAUGGUAAGGAUUAGCGAGGGCCAGGUAAGAUAUCUUGUUUCCUGUGACCUGCUCAUCGUGAGGUUUCCCACACUCAUCACUUCACUCUAUCACAUCCCUCUUGCUGAGAUAUAAAACAUAUAGACAUUGUUCCCUUUGACCCCUAACACACACAAAAAGACGCACACACACACACACACACACACACACACCUGGUUACAUCACACACUUCCCAUACCUUUAUAUGCUGUUGACCUGUAAAUCUAAAUUAUCUCCAAAUACCUCAUUCAUACUCUCACUUUCAGUCUAUCUGCGUGUGUGUAAUGCUAUAUUCCCGUCAUACUGAAAACUUGAGAGAUGUGUGUGUGUUUCCUGUAACUCACUGUGGGUUAUGAUAACAACCGUUUCUCCUGUCAACAGCCCAUAAUGUCAGAUUUACAGGGUUGCCCCCGGUAACCAGCCGAGCUGGCGUGGCUGAGUGAUUCUACAGCAUCUGCCAGAGCUAGAGAGGCCAUCUAUCACACGCACACACACACACACACACACACACACACACACACACACACACACACACACACACACAUUAGCACUCACACAGACAUAUCUAAUUUGUCUCUCCCACAAAUUUUCAGUAUAACAUGGAUACGAUGUCAGCAUGAAUUACGCACCUCUCUCUUUUUCUUACCUUCAGUUUGAGACUGUCCUCCAUAGAAAAAUGUCAUCAUUGGUUGUUUGUUCAAACAGCUUAAAACAAUGUAUGUUCAUGUAUGAUGCCAAUGUAGGAAGUAGUUCUUGUAGUGCAGCAAAAGGAAGAGGUUGAAGUGGAGGGUUGGGUAUACAAAGCAUCUGAUUUUUUUUCAGCAAUUCAAAUAGGUCUGGUGCUGUGUUUACUCCAUCUGGGCUGUUUCCCUGGUUGCAAGAGCAACUAAGUCAAUCACAGGAAAAAUUGUCACAAAAAUGGUGACAAGCGUAAAUGAGAUAGACAAAGCUAUACAGGUUGUUGUAAGUUGACUUACAGAAAUAACACCUUUUAAAUUGGCAUAUUUCUUUGAUCAACAUGGCAAAUGUUAAGAUAGUUAACAGCUACUGCAGCUUCUUCAGUAUGUCGACUGAAAAUUAUGUUGACAGGAUGGAUACCUCACUCACUACUCACUGAUUAGGGUAAACUAAUCCCUCCUAACAAACAGUAAACAGCUAACAUGACUGAAGAAUGAUGUGGAAACACAAAGGCAAUUCAGUCUGAUUAACAAGCUGUCAACAUCUUGUCCUGAUACUCAACGAAGCUUCAGGGAAGUUAUGCUUCUCUAACGUUUUAAUUCCUAUAAGGGUGAAUUUCAGUUUCUUGCCAUCAAACCUUCUACGUCACUUCCACUUUCCCACGCUGUCAGAACAUAACCAAAAAUUCUUGCUUCUUCUUAUCUGGUCAGUCAGUUCGUCCCCUUGAACAAACUGUUUGUUGCUCGUCGUGAUUCUUUCCAUUUUCCACCUAUUCACUCGACUCCACCACCAACAGCAUUUAGACUCUGGGGGGAUCCUGUCAUCUUUUUCAGUGGGUUUACAUUUAAUGAAGAUGCUUGCGAAGAUCAUGUUGACGAAAUCCAGAUGCAAAAGUCUUUCUCUGUUGCUCAAAUUGUAUCAAAUAUGUCUAGCUAGCUAGACAGUUGUUCCUUGUUGUAGCUUCUACCUUCAAAGUGAAUGGCAGCUGUGGUCAGAUUGCAUUAACAGCAGUUACAAUGGAUUCCAAACAUGAACCAGAGUGACGCCAAAAAACGUGCCAAAAUGAUGGGAGCUUCUUAAAUAAUCCCUGCAGCCAAUCUAUGUUCAGUAUACUCAAUAGUAUCUCCGCAACAUACCUGAAUACUUCUGUAUUACUAUUGCUUCCCCAUAGCUUUGGAGCUUAACUAGCGGUAUCGUACUCAAGGAUUUUUUGGUGAAUACAUGCUGAACAUAGAGAUCAACAGCAGAGAAGUGGAUUAUGUUGCAGGAGUAUGAGGUUUUGGACCUGCUGUGAAUCCAGUCUGUGUAUAGCUACCUUUCUUGGUGAUGGAGCAAGCUACGAACCUUCCAUAGACACCUUUUGAGCCUAUUGUAUUUGAGUAUUUGAUACUCAAAGGCUAGAUUUCUGUGAAGUAUCCGUUUAAUCAUCGGGGCAGCUGAUCAGGAAACGCUCAUAUAAGUAUUUGGAAUGACCAUGUGGGUCAUUUUUGUGGGUCAACUUAGUUUAGUUAUGAGGACUUGUUCACUUUUUCCUGUUUCUGUCUCUCUUUUUGGUGUAGUGAAAAUAGCACAAGCUAACUAAGCAAUAAAAGUUAUGCCUUUCUUUUCCAUUAA
Long non-coding RNA from Siniperca chuatsi (mandarin fish), 4639 nucleotides. RefSeq lists it as uncharacterized. Lineage: Eukaryota; Metazoa; Chordata; Actinopteri; Centrarchiformes; Sinipercidae. The record is from RefSeq and is a predicted model, not a curated record. The transcript has 2 exons.